GAGCGGAUCUUCAUUAGCUUGCUUUUGAAGAUCAGCGGCGGACGGGUGAGUAACACGUGGGCAACCUGCCUGUAAGACUGGGAUAACUUCGGGAAACCGGAGCUAAUACCGGAUAAUCCUUUCCCUCACAUGAGGGAAAGCUGAAAGACGGUUUCGGCUGUCACUUACAGAUGGGCCCGCGGCGCAUUAGCUAGUUGGUGAGGUAACGGCUCACCAAGGCAACGAUGCGUAGCCGACCUGAGAGGGUGAUCGGCCACACUGGGACUGAGACACGGCCCAGACUCCUACGGGAGGCAGCAGUAGGGAAUCUUCCGCAAUGGACGAAAGUCUGACGGAGCAACGCCGCGUGAACGAUGAAGGCUUUCGGGUCGUAAAGUUCUGUUGUCAGGGAAGAACAAGUACCGGAGUAACUGCCGGUACCUUGACGGUACCUGACCAGAAAGCCACGGCUAACUACGUGCCAGCAGCCGCGGUAAUACGUAGGUGGCAAGCGUUGUCCGGAAUUAUUGGGCGUAAAGCGCGCGCAGGCGGUUCCUUAAGUCUGAUGUGAAAGCCCCCGGCUCAACCGGGGAGGGUCAUUGGAAACUGGGGAACUUGAGUGCAGAAGAGGAGAGCGGAAUUCCACGUGUAGCGGUGAAAUGCGUAGAGAUGUGGAGGAACACCAGUGGCGAAGGCGGCUCUCUGGUCUGUAACUGACGCUGAGGCGCGAAAGCGUGGGGAGCGAACAGGAUUAGAUACCCUGGUAGUCCACGCCGUAAACGAUGAGUGCUAAGUGUUAGAGGGUUUCCGCCCUUUAGUGCUGCAGCAAACGCAUUAAGCACUCCGCCUGGGGAGUACGGCCGCAAGGCUGAAACUCAAAGGAAUUGACGGGGGCCCGCACAAGCGGUGGAGCAUGUGGUUUAAUUCGAAGCAACGCGAAGAACCUUACCAGGUCUUGACAUCCUCUGACAACCCUAGAGAUAGGGCGUUCCCCUUCGGGGGACAGAGUGACAGGUGGUGCAUGGUUGUCGUCAGCUCGUGUCGUGAGAUGUUGGGUUAAGUCCCGCAACGAGCGCAACCCUUGAUCUUAGUUGCCAGCAUUCAGUUGGGCACUCUAAGGUGACUGCCGGUGACAAACCGGAGGAAGGUGGGGAUGACGUCAAAUCAUCAUGCCCCUUAUGACCUGGGCUACACACGUGCUACAAUGGAUGGAACAAAGGGUCGCGAAGCCGCGAGGUGAAGCCAAUCCCAUAAAUCCAUUCUCAGUUCGGAUUGCAGGCUGCAACUCGCCUGCAUGAAGCCGGAAUCGCUAGUAUCGCGAU
Molecule: ribosomal RNA, 1301 nt
Filed under: Bacillus sp. DS4.hex.1
Lineage: Bacteria; Bacillati; Bacillota; Bacilli; Caryophanales; Bacillaceae
Description: bacterial SSU rRNA
Rfam family: Bacterial small subunit ribosomal RNA
Source: RNAcentral